Molecule: ribosomal RNA, 768 nt
Filed under: uncultured Bacillota bacterium
Lineage: Bacteria; Bacillati; Bacillota
Description: bacterial SSU rRNA
Rfam family: Bacterial small subunit ribosomal RNA
Source: RNAcentral
GAGUUUGAUCCUGGCUCAGGAUGAACGCUGGCGGCGUGCUUAACACAUGCAAGUCGAACGAGCACUAUUGAAAGAUUCUUCGGAUGAUGGAUAUAGUGACUGAGUGGCGGACGGGUGAGUACGCGUGGGUAACCUGCCUCAUACAGGGGGAUAACAGUUAGAAAUGACUGCUAAUACCGCUAAGCGCACAGGACCGCAUGGUCUGGUGUGAAAAACUCCGGUGGUAUGAGAUGGACCCGCUCUGAUUAGCUAGUUGGUGGGGUAACGGCCUACCAAGGCGACGAUCAGUAGCCGACCUGAAGGGUGACCGGCCACAUUGGGACUGAGACACGGCCCAAACUCCUACGGGAGGCAGCAGUGGGAAUAUUGCACAAUGGGCGAAAGCCUGAUGCAGCGACGCCGCGUGAGCGAAGAAGUAUUCGGUAUGUAAAGCUCUAUCAGCAGGGAAGAAAAUGACGGUACCUGACUAAGAAGCACCGGUAAAUACGUGCCAGCAGCCGCGGUAAUACGUAUGGUGCAAGCGUUAUCCGGAUUUACUGGUGUAAAGGGAGCGUAGACGGCUCAGUAAGUCUGAAGUGAAAGCCCGGGGCUCAACCCCGGACUGCUUUGGAAACUAUUGGGCUAGAGUGCCGGAGAGGUAAGCGGAAUUCCUAGUGUAGCGUGAAAUGCGUAGAUAUUAGAGGAACACCAGUGGCGAAGGCGGCUUACUGGACGGUAACUACGUUGAGCUCGAAAGCGUGGGGGAGCAAACAGGAUUAGAUACCCUGG